CCUACGGGAGGCAGCAGUGGGGGAUAUUGCACAAUGGGGGAAACCCUGAUGCAGCGACGCCGCGUGGGUGAAGAAGUAUUUCGGUAUGUAAAGCCCUAUCAGCAGGGAAGAAAGAAGACGGUACCUGACUAAGAAGCCCCGGCUAACUACGUGCCAGCAGCCGCGGUAAUACGUAGGGGGCGAGCGUUAUCCGGAUUCACUGGGUGUAAAGGGAGCGUAGACGGCCGUGCAAGCCAGGAGUGAAAGCCCGGGGCCCAACCCCGGGACUGCUCUUGGAACUGUGCGGCUGGAGUGCGGGAGGGGCAGGCGGAAUGCCUGGUGUAGCGGUGAAAUGCGUAGAUAUCAGGAGGAACACCGGCGGCGAAGGCGGCCUGCUGGACCGCGACUGACGUUGAGGCUCGAAAGCGUGGGGAGCGAACAGGAUUAGAUACCCUGGUAGUC
This 441-nucleotide ribosomal RNA is filed under the name uncultured bacterium. RNAcentral describes it as "partial 16S ribosomal RNA". It matches the Rfam family "Bacterial small subunit ribosomal RNA", at positions 338 to 795 of the family's 1533-position model. The record is from RNAcentral.